RNAcentral lists this ribosomal RNA (253 nucleotides) under uncultured bacterium. RNAcentral's name for it is "partial 16S ribosomal RNA". It matches the Rfam family "Bacterial small subunit ribosomal RNA", at positions 524 to 776 of the family's 1533-position model. The record is from RNAcentral.
UACAGAGGGGGCCAGCGUUAUUCGGAAUUAUUGGGCGUAAAGGGCGCGUAGGCGGCUUUGCGUGUCUUUCGUGAAAUCCCUCGGCUCAACUGAGGACGUGCGGAAGAAACUGCAGGGCUGGAGUCCGGGAGAGGAGGGUGGAAUUCCCAGUGUAGCGGUGAAAUGCGUAGAUAUCGAGAGGAACACCGGUGGCGAAGGCGGCCUUCUGGACGACGACUGACGCUGAGACGCGAAAGCGUGGGGAGCAAACAGG